GAGGAAUAUUGGUCAAUGGGCGUGAGCCUGAACCAGCCAAGUAGCGUGCAGGAUGACGGCCCUAUGGGUUGUAAACUGCUUUUAUACGGGGAUAAAAGGGUGAACGUGUUCUCCUUUGCAGGUACCGUAUGAAUAAGGACCGGCUAAUUCCGUGCCAGCAGCCGCGGUAAUACGGAAGGUCCUGGCGUUAUCCGGAUUUAUUGGGUUUAAAGGGAGCGCAGGCUGCACUUUAAGCGUGUUGUGAAAUGUACCGGCUCAACCGGUAACGUGCAGCGCGAACUGGGGUGCUUGAGUACGAAGAGGGAAGGCGGAACUCGUGGUGUAGCGGUGAAAUGCUUAGAUAUCACGAGGAACUCCGAUCGCGAAGGCAGCUUUCCGUUUCGGAACUGACGCUGAGGCUCGAAAGUGCGGGUAUCGAACAGGAUUAGAUACCCUGGUAGUCCGCACGGUAAACGAUGGAUGCUCGCUGUUGGAUAUUUUUAUUCAGUGGCUAAGUGAAAACGUUAAGCAUCCCACCUGGGGAGUACGCCGGCAACGGUG
RNAcentral lists this ribosomal RNA (540 nucleotides) under uncultured bacterium. Its description in RNAcentral is "bacterial SSU rRNA". It matches the Rfam family "Bacterial small subunit ribosomal RNA", at positions 356 to 896 of the family's 1533-position model. The record is from RNAcentral.